CUCUUCCUGAUAUAAUUCUGAAACCAAAACCCUCUGAAACCAAAACACGCAAGGCAGAACCUCUCCUCUUGACAAAAAUAAACCCAGCAACCCUCCUUUCGACAUUACUCACCAAACGCAGAACCUAUACACUCUCUCAAACGCAGAUCCAAGCUAUUUCACAGAAAGCUUGCAUGGGCACAACCAUGGGAGCCAACGUUUUCAAUCUCCGACCCAGCCUCCAUAUCAAAGCAUUCUCUUUCGCCAGGGAAACACUCAUAGAAAGUGGAGAUGUAUUGAAGAGCCUCCCAAUCUUCAAAAUCUGACAACAAUCCUACAGGAUAAGAGAGUGAAUUGGCACUCUACUCCAUUUGAGGCAAGGUUGGAGAGAGCUUUGAAAAGUGGUUCUGCUGAGGCUUAAACUACUCAUACUCCUGGUGUAUGUUAGACAAGCUUGUGAGUGAUUUGGUGUUGGAUUGUUGUUUUAUGUUCUCAGCAUCUAUAUUUUUUUAUUCUUUUGUAAAAUUCGAUUCGGUUGUUUGUGA
This is a long non-coding RNA of Quercus robur (English oak), 524 nucleotides long. RefSeq lists it as uncharacterized. The record is from RefSeq and is a predicted model, not a curated record. The transcript is spliced from 3 exons. NCBI's taxonomy places the organism in Eukaryota, Viridiplantae, Streptophyta, Magnoliopsida, Fagales, Fagaceae.